GCCCGUAUAGCUCAGUGGUAGAGCGCGUCACUCGUAUGAUCUCCAUGUGUAAUGACGAGGUCCAUCGUUCAAUCCGGUGUGUGGGCA
Non-coding RNA from Xylariomycetidae sp. FL0641, 87 nucleotides. Lineage: Eukaryota; Fungi; Ascomycota; Sordariomycetes. The record is from the annotation of a GenBank genome assembly.